Molecule: ribosomal RNA, 499 nt
Filed under: uncultured bacterium
Lineage: Bacteria
Description: partial 16S ribosomal RNA
Rfam family: Bacterial small subunit ribosomal RNA
Source: RNAcentral
GACGAACGCUGGCGGCGUGCCUAAUACAUACAAGUCGAGCGGACUUUCAAGAAGCUUGCUUUUUGAAAGUUAGCGGCGGACGGGUGAGUAACACGUGGGCAACCUGCCUGCAAGACGGGGAUAACUCCGGGAAACCGGGGCUAAUACCGGAUAAUAUCUUCCUUCGCAUGAAGGAAGGUUGAAAGGCGGCGCAAGCUGCCGCUUGCAGAUGGGCCCGCGGCGCAUUAGCUAGUUGGUGAGGUAACGGCUCACCAAGGCGACGAUGCGUAGCCGACCUGAGAGGGUGAUCGGCCACACUGGGACUGAGACACGGCCCAGACUCCUACGGGAGGCAGCAGUAGGGAAUCUUCCGCAAUGGACGAAAGUCUGACGGAGCAACGCCGCGUGAGCGAAGAAGGUCUUCGGAUCGUAAAGCUCUGUUGUCAGGGAAGAACAAGUACCGUUCGAACAGGGCGGUACCUUGACGGUACCUGACCAGAAAGCCACGGCUAACUACGUG